This 478-nucleotide ribosomal RNA is filed under the name uncultured bacterium. Its description in RNAcentral is "partial 16S ribosomal RNA". It matches the Rfam family "Bacterial small subunit ribosomal RNA", at positions 28 to 523 of the family's 1533-position model. The record is from RNAcentral.
GACGAACGCUGGCGGCGUGCUUAACACAUGCAAGUCGAGCGGUAAGGCCCUUCGGGGUACACGAGCGGCGAACGGGUGAGUAACACGUGAGCAAUCUGCCCUUCACUCUGGGAUAGCCACCGGAAACGGUGAUUAAUACCGGAUAUGACCCUGCCAGGCAUCUGGUGGGGUGGAAAGUUCUGGCGGUGAAGGAUGGGCUCGCGGCCUAUCAGCUUGUUGGUGAGGUAAUGGCCCACCAAGGCUUCGACGGGUAGCCGGCCUGAGAGGGUGACCGGCCACACUGGGACUGAGACACGGCCCAGACUCCUACGGGAGGCAGCAGUGGGGAAUAUUGGACAAUGGGCGAAAGCCUGAUCCAGCAACGCCGCGUGAGGGAUGACGGCCUUCGGGUUGUAAACCUCUUUCAGCAGGGACGAAGCGAAAGUGACGGUACCUGCAGAAGAAGCACCGGCCAACUACGUGCCAGCCGCCGCCGUAA